AAGGAGAAAAUUAUGGACAAAUUGAGAGAGCAACACUCCUUGUCCUUGCCUCCCAAAGGUGCCGAAGGGACGGGCAGAGUGACGAUCCGAGAGUGGAUUCACCACCAACAGGCCUAGCCCAUAUGGGUCAUGAGACAUGACGUCAUUCCCGCCUUCCUCCUGUUUAUCACUGGUAGUCCAUUGUGAGCGCGGCAUGCAUUUUUUAUUUGUUUCGUAACUAACACAUAUUUGGUCUUGUUACCAUCUCCUUUCAGUCAAGCUACUUCGUUAGCUUGUACUGUAUUCCUAAGAAUCAUUUUUUUCUUCUCCUUGUUGGCUGUGUGUUGAUCGUUAAUUAUUUUCUUCGGUAUGGUGUGCGUGAGUCCUACAUCCUCUUAUCCAUCUUCCAAUACCAAAGCCAAACUUCAUAAUUCAGACACACCCAUUGGCAACCAAAUGUAACCUUCAUUGAUAACCUUCAAGCUCAAGUUACCGUAUUCUCAUAAACCAAGGAUGAGAAAGCGUUUUUAUUUUUCUUUGUGCAUGACUUUAGAGAAUUUCAAUGACUUUAGAGAAAGCGUUUUUGUUAGCUUCAUGAUCGUGUUAGAAAUUGGAUAUUUAGGGAAUGAUUGAGAACAAAAGGUAAGGAAGAACAAAAAGAAUUUUUCAGAGAAUUUCAAUGACUGCAAAACAUGGCAGCGGCACUAAGAUUUCAUUCAUUGUAAUUUUUUCAGGAACAUUCUUCCUACUUAUCUGCAGGUAUUGCAGAUGGUACACGUCCUUCAAAUGGACAGCUGGAUAUAUGAAUCACAGCCGAUACAUCUGUUGUUUGAAAACUAGAAUCCUAUGCUUCAUUCCUUCACAAACUAGCCGUUACAGCUUUUUAAGUUCCUUUUGGUCCUGCCUUGGAACCUUCAAGUCUGCAAUAUAGCUUACAUUUCAACAGAUUGGGGUGGUUCUAGUUCAUCUGGAUCUGCAAGGGAUUGUAUCCUGCUAGCUGCUUGUGAAGCAUACGAGACUCUUCCGCUGAGUGCUGAAUUUCCUGCUGAUGUGUUUACUUCUUGUCUCAGAACUCUUCCACAGAGUUCUGUUUCAAUUUUGUGAUUCUUGUUCUUUGUGGUGAAUAAUGUUAUUGAUAGCUUCUGCAUUGCUUCGUUUGCUAGAAGCUUGUCACUGCAUUUUCUUCAAUUCAAGGUCAUAAACGUGGGGUGCGAAGUUUGAAUGCUGUUGUGGAUUGGCAACAACAAUCUGGAUAUCUGGUACUUCCUCUCUUUAUGAUGUAAAGAUUACAUUUUCUGCAGUCUGCUCCUCAAGUUCACUAGGGUCAACUUGCAGCCGGUUUUGUCGACGGUUCUGUCCGACUUUAUGAUGUGCGAACUCCUGAAAUGUAAGCUCAUCAUAUCUUCUUCUGGCAAGACCAAAAAUAUGGGUUAUGAUAUUUUUGAAAGUGUUGCAACUUUUAGAAAAGAUAAGUUACAAAUAGUUACGUUUGCUUACCUAGAUGCACAAUUUCUUUAUAUGUUUACAAAUGAUAAGCUCUUCAUUUCUACUUCUGUCACUAUACGUUUGUCCCACUAUAAGUAAACAUUAAACAUGAUAAUAUGCUAUGUAGCUGGUUGUAGCUCUUCAUUUCUAGCCUUCCAUCCGUACGAAACGCUGCUUGUAGCUGGUGCUGCAGAUGCUUUUGCAUCCAUUUAUGCUGAUGACAACUCUCAAGCUAGAUGAAAAUUCUAAUUCUACCCUUAUGGUUUGAUGAGGGCUUCUUUUAUAUUGGAAGGCAGUGCAAGUGGACAGAUUGCAAUUGCAAUCUUGCUGUUGCUGAUCACUUGGUGCAUCUGGACCGUCAUGAUAUAAAAUUCCACUGCCCCAAUUCUUCUUCGACGUCAAUAGGUGUAUCUGGAAGCAUUGGUAGGUGACGAUUUAGUGGUGUUGAUAGUGAGGUUGUACACUGGGUGUCAUGACAUAAUCUCAUUAAGGAACGCAUAUCAUGGCAGCGCUGAUGGCACCAUGGGGGCUACUGCCUAGGCCAAUUGGGAUUUUAUCAGUACCACGACUUCUGGUGAUGGUUGCUUAAGUAGUUAUUGGUGAUCGUGAGCUGAAGACACCUGCAGAGACCGAAACUGUACAUGCAAUGGACAAGAUGAAAGGGACUCGCGAUUGGCAAAGGUCUUCUAUAGAAAUGUUUUCAGAAUCACACCUCCGCUGUGCUUCACUAAUGAAGAUGCAGAUUUUCUUACUGAUACAAUGGACUACACAGAUGUCGAAAAUUUGAAGGCUCAAAUUUAAUUGUAGAUAUAGAGUGUCUAAUUAUCAUUCACCAAUCGGUCCAAGUAACAAUGACCUGUUAUCUUUUGGAAACAUAUCAAUAAGUUUAGGUUUAUGCUUCAAUAAUUCGCUAUGAUCCUGUAACACGAAGAGUCAACAACUCGUCGUCCCUCGCUCACCACGUAUCCUGGCUCUUGCUUGGUUUCUGUCUUAUGACCUUAUGAAUAUUUGAGGGGUGUCUCUCUCCAUUUGAAUAUAAUGCAUACGUUAAAAUUUUAGUUUAUGUACAAUUUCCUGAGCAUUGCCAUGAUUAUGUUCAGUUGCGCUUCUGCACAACAAUGGCAUGCACUUCAUUUACACUUCGGCCUCUCUGGCUUCCUCCACUCUUAGGCCCAAUGACAUCUCCAAAGAGCGCCUUCGUGUCCGAAGAUUUCACGCCGAUUGCUCCAUAAGUAAGGAUGGGUAAAUACCCAUUGGUUAUGGGUAACCGCUGUUAUCUGCUCAUUUAAAUUU
Molecule: long non-coding RNA, 2757 nt
Organism: Pyrus x bretschneideri (Chinese white pear)
Lineage: Eukaryota; Viridiplantae; Streptophyta; Magnoliopsida; Rosales; Rosaceae
Exons: 3
Source: RefSeq, a predicted model, not a curated record